Non-coding RNA from Macaca mulatta (Rhesus monkey), 2072 nucleotides. The record is from RefSeq and is a predicted model, not a curated record. Lineage: Eukaryota; Metazoa; Chordata; Mammalia; Primates; Cercopithecidae.
UGAGUUGAGAUUGCACCACUGCACUCCAGCCUUGUCGACACAGCGAGACUCCCUCUAUAAAAAUAAAAUGCUCUGUAACUGUCCUGAAAGGUUUGUGGAAUAAUUAUUUUUUACUGAAAAACUUAACUUUAAUCAGUAGAUUGAAAUUGUGCUGCCAGACAGACUGUAUGUUCUAAUUUUAAACUUUAUGUUCACUGGCAACAAUUAGAAUGACUAUUACUGGAUUAAUAUGAAAGUGAGGGCGAUUGGAAGGUGAGGCGGUCCCGGUGUUCUCACGUCCCAGGUGAUUGUGAAGUGCUGACCAGUUGCCACUGGACAUCAUUGAAACACAAUAGGAAAAUUGCAGCAAACUCUUCAGGACAAGGUUUUCAAAACAAGUUGCAAUCUUGGCAGAACUGGACAAAGAGAAAAGAAAACUACUUAUGCAGAACCAGUCUUCAACAAAUCAUCCUGGAGCUAGCAUUGCACUCUCGAGACCCUCUUUUAAGGACUUCCAGGAUCACGCUGAGCAGCAGUAUAUUGCAGCCCAGCAGAAGGCAGCUUUGCAGCAUGCUCAUGCACAUUCAUUUGGAUACUUCAUAAUUCAAGACUCUGCAUUUGGGAACCUGACUGUUCCUGUUUACCUCGCCUUGAUCCAGAAUGAAGAAAAUAUUUGUGAUGGAAAAGUGAUUUUGUAAUAUCAAAUGCCAAAGCUACUAUCAUUCAGUGCUAGAUGAACUGUGACUUUAAGAAUUUUGGUGAACUUUGAUGUUUUUUGUUCGUUAAAGGAGUGUGCAAGUGAAAGCGGAAAGAAGGGUAACCAGGAUGAUGAGAGCUGUGGAAGCUGUAUCGUCCAAGGAAUUGAUUAUGUACCAUGACUGUUACUCUUUGUAAUGCUGUUUUAACUCUCAAUCAUGCUCUGAAUUGGAUAGUCACAAAAACAUUCCCCAACCCCUAACAAGUUUGACUGAAUAUAUCAUGCCCACAGUAGAUUUUCAAGAAUCAUUUAUAGUACUUAACUUUAAAGAAAGAAGAGUACUUUUUAAAAAUGAACCAAUAGGCUUAAAUCAGUUACAUCCAUAUUUGCUGUUUAUAGGAUUGGUGUCAGUGUCCCUUUUGAGUUUACAGUCAACCUGUAUCAUCCUGAAAUAUUCUUUGUGAACUCAUAACUACUUCCCCCUUUCUCAUUUUAAAACAAACCCCAAGAAUAAAUCACUAACCAGUCUUAACCAUCUUCUAUAAACAUAUUCCCUUAUAAAUGAUGUGACUAAAUGCAAUUUAAAAUAAUAGAAAAAAAAGGAAAGUGAGAAUAGGAGAUUGUAAUAUCCAUUUUAACUGAGCGAUCUUUUCAGAAGAUAUAAAAUGAAAUUAUUUUAUAACAUUUAAAAGGAUUUUCAAGUUUUAUAUUUUUGUCUAUGUGCUGCUUUAUAGACUAAGAAGGGGACAGCACAAAUAUUAUAAAUAUUUCAAGGAUAUUAUAUAAAGCAGUAAAAUUAUUGAACAUUAUAUUGGUUUGCUAGGGCUGCUAUAACAAAGUACCACACGCUAGGUGGCUUAAACAGUAGAAAUUUGUUGUCUCAGUUCUGAAGAUUAGAAGUCUGAAGUCAAGGUAUCUCCAAAUACAGUCACAGUCUGAGCAUGGUGGCUCAUGCCUGUAAUCCUAGCACUUUGGAAGGCUGAGCAGGGGGAUUGCUUGAGCCCACCCUGGGCAACAUAGUGAGACCUAAUCUGUACUAAAAAUCAGAAAAAUUAGCUAGACAUGGUAGCGUGCACCUGUAGUCCCCGCUACUUGAAGGCUGAGGUGGGAGGAUUGCUUGAGCCUGGGAGUUUGAGGCUGCAGUGACCUAUGAUCAUGCCACCGCACUACUGUCUGGGUGACAGAGUGAAACUGCGUCUCAAAACAAAACACACAUAGUCAUGUUCUGAGGUACUAAGCACAGUGUGGGAGCAGGUGGGGGGCAAAAUUUAACCCAUAAAAAAGUCAUCCAAGUUUGUUACUACCUGAUUUUACUGCCUAAUAUUCUCUCUUCUACUGUAGAUAAUAUAUAUAUGAGAUUUCUUUAGAAAAAUAAAACAUCAGUAGAUUUCUUAAA